This 131-nucleotide small RNA is filed under the name Klebsiella pneumoniae. RNAcentral describes it as "RtT sRNA". It matches the Rfam family "RtT RNA". Rfam says of the family: This family represents a bacterial cis-regulatory element known as RtT RNA. The exact function of RtT is unknown although it is thought that it may be involved in changing the cellular response in relation to amino acid starvation. The record is from RNAcentral. Lineage: Bacteria; Pseudomonadati; Pseudomonadota; Gammaproteobacteria; Enterobacterales; Enterobacteriaceae.
UAUUCUGCCCCACGGGGAAGGAUGAGAAGCUUCGACUAAGGUUCGACUCGAGCGAAGCGAGAGAACGUUGCCGCAGGCAAUGGCCCGAAGGCAAGGCGCUUUAGCGCCGAGUAAUCCUUCCCCCACCACUG